RNAcentral lists this unclassified non-coding RNA (374 nucleotides) under soil metagenome. Its description in RNAcentral is "partial contains 5.8S ribosomal RNA, internal transcribed spacer 2, and large subunit ribosomal RNA". The stretch from base 2 to 119 matches the Rfam family "5.8S ribosomal RNA", at positions 37 to 154 of the family's 154-position model. The record is from RNAcentral.
GUGAAGAACGUAGCGAAAUGCGAUAAGUAAUGUGAAUUGCAGAAUUCAGUGAAUCAUCGAAUCUUUGAACGCACAUUGCGCCCGCCAGUAUUCUGGCGGGCAUGCCUGUUCGAGCGUCAUUUCAACCCUCAAGACCCCUUCGGGGGACUUGGUGUUGGGGACCGGCACAGGGGCCUGCCUGCUUGUCUUGCAGCGCCCUCGCCGCCCCCGAAAUGAAUUGGCGGCCUCGUCGCGGCCUCCCCUGCGUAGUAGCACAACCUCGCAACGGGAACGUGACGGCGGCCACUGCCGUAAAACAACCCCAAUUUUAUUAGAGUUGACCUCGAAUCAGGUAGGAAUACCCGCUGAACUUAAGCAUAUCAAUAAGCGGAGGA